Molecule: long non-coding RNA, 515 nt
Organism: Amphimedon queenslandica
Lineage: Eukaryota; Metazoa; Porifera; Demospongiae; Haplosclerida; Niphatidae
Exons: 4
Source: RefSeq, a predicted model, not a curated record
AAAGCCACAGUAAAAAUUUCCAAAUAUAGCUACAGUAGUGCAAAGGUGUAGUAUUUAUAGUCAUUCAAUGUUAGUUCUUUAUAUUAAUUUUGUUAACUUUUAGGGUUGAACAUUCGUGAUUUAGGAGAUGUGAUACAAAAGUUAGAGGAUGCACACUUUAGAAAAGCAGACUGGGAUAAAUUAGGGAUAAGCCUUGGUCUGCAUAAAAAUACACUGGAUGUGAUUAGUGCAAAUGAAAGAGGUGACGUUGAUAGGUGUUUUACUGAAUGCCUUGUAAAGUGGCUGAGCAGAGCUGAUGAUGUUGAUAGCAAAUGUAACGGAAAGCCAAGUUACAGUUCACUCGCUGAUGCUCUUGACCGUAUGGGAAAUAACAAAAACCAAGCUGACUAUAUAAGAGGUUUAUCAGAAGGAAAGAAACCAGCUAAAAGGCAGAAACUUGAUCCCGGCAGCACUAAGAAAUGUGGUUCUGAUUACAAAUAUAAUGAUGGAGAGUCUGAAGCAUGUGCAGCUGAUGA